Molecule: long non-coding RNA, 940 nt
Filed under: Pan troglodytes (chimpanzee)
Lineage: Eukaryota; Metazoa; Chordata; Mammalia; Primates; Hominidae
Description: long non-coding RNA NONPTRT006053
Source: RNAcentral
UAGCCUUCUACUAUGAUUUCGUGACUCGUACUAAUAUUCUAUUUUCAGCAAGGACUAAGAGACACCCCUAAGGAAGAAAAGUAGUAGUAGAAUCCAAUGAACACAUGGACCCAACACUCCUUUGGCCAAGUUGAUGAUUCUCCACCAUUUAUUUGCCUGCCUCACUAUAUACUUCUAGCAAGCCACUGCAAGGCUGCAUUGCAGCUAAGAGGAAGCCCUCCUUGAAGGCUGCACAGCAAGGAGUGUUGGCAGAGUAGCUGGGUUUCCACUGGGAGAGCACGAGUCAGCACCAUGCUGGGCUCAAGCAUGGAUAUGCACUGCUGCUGCCAGAGCAUCAUAAUUUGCAAGCAUUUAUCGAGUACCCUUCAUCUAAUUUUCAUCCUGCGGAAACUAGAAAUUGCUACACUUGCACACAAUAAACUUCUAGCAGUUAGCCUUCUAAACUGGGACACUACCAUUUGGGAGGGAAAAGACCUUUCUGGUGGUUAAAGAUGGGGCUUCCAGUUAGUGCAUUUGUUUUAAUACCGUCUAUUCCAUAGAGCCAUCGAUGGAGACUCAUUAUAUAACCUUUCGUGGAAAGCUUCUGACUUCUUUCUCAAUGCACAGGUGGGAUGUAAAGGGACAUCCCCAUCAUAAGGCACUUGCCCCAGGCUAGGAACUUAACUCUCCCACAGUCGACAUGUGGCUCUUUAGAUUUCAUGCCAUAAGUCUCCAGAGGUUUCUCAGGUCUUGCCCUGCAGAAGCAGAAGUCAUGGGAAGGAGCUGUCGCGUAGCUUUUUUUUUUUUUUUUUGGAGCUUGGGUGCUGAAGAUCAGUUCCUCCAACUUUUUGGUUUUUUAAUGUUUCACUCCAACUGCAAGUUUCACCCCAUUUCUAGUGUACUGUCCUUGAGAGAAGUGAAGUUUCAGAUGGGAGCAACUUCACUUGAAGCCCAUAUUAAA